RNAcentral lists this ribosomal RNA (388 nucleotides) under uncultured bacterium. Its description in RNAcentral is "bacterial SSU rRNA". It matches the Rfam family "Bacterial small subunit ribosomal RNA", at positions 28 to 417 of the family's 1533-position model. The record is from RNAcentral.
GACGAACGCUGGCGGCGUGCUUAACACAUGCAAGUCGAGCGGUAAGGCCCUUUCGGGGUACGACGAGCGGCGAACGGGUAGAGUAACACGUGGGUGACCUGCCCUCAGCUCUGGGAUAAGCCUGGGAAACGUGGGUCUAAUACCGGAUAUGACUCCAUGACGCAUGUUGUGGGGUGGAAAGCCUUGUGCGGCUGAGGAUGGGCCCGCGGCCUAUCAGCUUGUUGGUGGGGUGAUGGCCUACCAAGGCGACGACGGUAGCCGGCCUGAGAGGCGACCGGCCACACUGGGACUGAGACACGGCCCAGACUCCUACGGGAGGCAGCAGUGGGGAAUCUUGCGCAAUGGGCGAAAGCCUGACGCAGCGACGCCGCGUGAGGGAUGACGGCCU